GAUAAGAUGGCUGAAUUUUAGGUUGUAAAUUGUAAAUUUAUUUAUGAGUAAUACUCUCUUGUCA
Molecule: transfer RNA, 64 nt
Filed under: Tuxedo susansolomonae
Lineage: Eukaryota; Metazoa; Arthropoda; Insecta; Hemiptera; Miridae
Also listed under: 1 other name
Description: tRNA-Tyr
Source: RNAcentral